CCCUUAGAUGUUCUGGGCCGCACGCGCGCUACACUGAUGCAUUCUACGAGCCUAUCCUUGACCGACAGGUCCGGGUAAUCUUUGAAUCUGCAUCGUGACGGGGAUAGAUUAUUGCAAUUAUUAAUCUUCAACGAGGAAUGCCUAGUAGGCGCAAGUCAUCAGCUUGCGUCGAUUACGUCCCUGCCCUUUGUACACACCGCCCGUCGCUCCUACCGAUUGGGUGUGCUGGUGAAAUGUUCGGAUCGGCCGUUUGUCGCGGUUUCCGCGGCUCGUGGCUGAGAAGUUCAUUAAACCCUCCCACCUAGAGGAAGGAGAAGUCGUAACA
RNAcentral lists this ribosomal RNA (325 nucleotides) under uncultured eukaryote. RNAcentral describes it as "partial 18S ribosomal RNA". It matches the Rfam family "Eukaryotic small subunit ribosomal RNA", at positions 1470 to 1796 of the family's 1831-position model. The record is from RNAcentral.